Methanosarcina mazei is the source of this 37-nucleotide non-coding RNA. The record is from Rfam. NCBI's taxonomy places the organism in Archaea, Methanobacteriati, Methanobacteriota, Methanomicrobia, Methanosarcinales, Methanosarcinaceae.
AUUCGCAAGCAAGAUCCACUAAAACAAGGAUUGAAGC